RNAcentral lists this ribosomal RNA (161 nucleotides) under uncultured bacterium. RNAcentral describes it as "partial 16S rRNA". It matches the Rfam family "Bacterial small subunit ribosomal RNA", at positions 358 to 511 of the family's 1533-position model. The record is from RNAcentral.
GGAAUCUUCCACAAUGGACGCAAGUCUGAUGGAGCAACGCCGCGUGAGUGAAGAAGGUUUUCGGAUCGUAAAGCUCUGUUGUUGGUGAAGAAGGAUAGAGGCAGUAACUGGUCUUUAUUUGACGGUAACCAACCAGAAAGUCACGGCUAACUACGUGCCAG